CCUACGGGUGGCAGCAGUGGGGGAUAUUGCACAAUGGGCGCAACCCUGAUGCAGCGACGCCGCGUGAGUGAAGAAGUAUUUCGGUAUGUAAAGCUCUAUCAGCAGGGAAGAAAAUGACAGUACCUGACCAAGAAGCCCCGGCUAACUUCGCGCCAGCAGCCGCGGGAACACUUAGGGGGCAAGCGUUAUCCGGAUUUCCUGGGUGUAAAGGGAGCGUAGGCGGUUAUGUAAGUCUGGAGUGAAAGCCCGGGGCCCAACCCCGGGACUGCUUUGGAAACUGUGUAACUGGAGUACUGGAGGGGCAGGCGGAAUUCCUGGUGUAGCGGUGAAAUGCGUAGAUAUCAGGAGGAACACCGGCGGCGAAGGCGGCCUGCUGGACUAAAACUGACGUUGAGGCUCGAAAGCGUGGGGAGCAAACAGGAUUAGAUACCCGGGUAGUC
RNAcentral lists this ribosomal RNA (440 nucleotides) under uncultured bacterium. Its description in RNAcentral is "partial 16S ribosomal RNA". It matches the Rfam family "Bacterial small subunit ribosomal RNA", at positions 338 to 795 of the family's 1533-position model. The record is from RNAcentral.